UGCGGUAAGGGAAAAAAGGAACCAAAACCAUAAAUGGAAGAGGAGUAGGAAAAUCUCAACAUGCGGUUGUAUAUCGUUUCUUUAAUUUGUUGUUGUUGUUGUGUUCUUAUUUGUUUUAGAUUCUCUUGAUUAGAAUCAGU
Molecule: non-coding RNA, 140 nt
Filed under: Heterosigma akashiwo
Lineage: Eukaryota; Raphidophyceae; Chattonellales; Chattonellaceae
Source: RNAcentral